GAGAUAUAACCGAGUUACCAAGGCAGGACCUCUUCGUCAAAGGAAGGAAAGAGCGGAGCAAGAAAGGAGGAAGAGAGGAGUGAGCGUUCCAUAGAGUUCAGUUUCACACAGAGCCAGUGGAGAUUCUACAGGUGGACAUGAAAACUAGAUGAAUAAAACGUAAAGUAAAAAUUAUAGACUGGAAUAAUCAUCUCAGCCAGUGUGAAGGAUUCAUUGGGGAAAGGAAAUUAUAUAACAAGUAAAGGAAAUUUUUCUACAGGAGGAAAGGUGGUGUUUGAGGGAACGGACGACCAACUUUAUUACUCUAAUCCAAAAACUAUACUUUCAUACUUGAAAGACUGAUGAACGGCAAGAUGAGUCUUUCCCGUAACGGUACCUUGGAGAAACCCGUGUCCCUGCAGACCGCCACGGACCGAGGGGAGCUCGAUUCCCCUCACCCGCGCCUCCAUCACACCGGCUCCAUCUCCUCCAGUACUCCAGCAAACGUGUCCAGCUCAUGUGUUGUGGUUCCUCCUCCGUACUCGAUAGCAGGCAGUGCGCUGAACGAGUCUCCUCUGGAGCUGAGGGGCUCUCUGGACUGUUGGGCCUGUUCUGUUCUGGUAACAGCACAGAAUCUGAUCAUCGCCGCGCUCAAUGUGGGUCUGGCUGCGUUUAUCUUCGGCCUCAUUCUCUUGCCUUCGCUCGUCAUGGUCGCUUUUGGCUUCCUCUGCCAUUCAACGGUUCAGCGCCAUGGUACUUCCGUCUACUGUUCAGAUCUCUUGGAUGAUGGAGGCUGUGUGGCUUUAUUGGUGGUUGGGUUCCUGCUGCUGGCUCCGCUCCUGGUUCUGGCUCUGGCCGCUUACUGCAGGAUGGCACGCCAUCUCCAGCUGGGCCUGUGCUUCAUCCCCUACAGCCGUGCCGUCUACAAGAACCUGCCUGCAUCACGCCAUCGAGGCCUGGGGGGCUGCUGUGGCCAGCAGGGGGCAGGAGAGAGUGAGGGAAAGGGUAGCGUGUGGGUUUGAGCAGCCUAAAAAAAGAGCAUGGUGAACUUUAUGUGAAUAGCCAUAGCAAUAGGUCACAUACAAAAGAACCAAAUAGUGCCGAUAUGUCAAUACAAGCAGUGCCAUGUUCUCAGCAGUUUUAUAAAUUGUGCAUUUAUUCAACAUCAGAUUUUUUUUUUUAUCCAUGCUUUUGCAGUGAUGUUUUUUCAGUCCUUUUUAACUGGAUCAACCUAUAGACCUUAGUCGGGGUAGCACCAUAUUUCAUUUUUGUCUGGAAUGAAAACAAGGCUACGAGGGAUAGAAGUUCUUUGCCGUGGAACAGGGUUCUUUAGACUAUUAAAAUGUUCUUCACGCUAAGAGAAAAUGUUUUUUUUAAGAACUGUUCACUUAAAGGUUCUUUGGGCAACCAAAACUGGGCAUCACUGUGAAAACCCCCUUUUGGAACCUUUAUUAGCAUCUUUAUACAGUGCGUGCCAUUGUA
This is an RNA transcript of Sinocyclocheilus anshuiensis, 1461 nucleotides long. It is a transcript of the gene named transmembrane protein 88-like, with no coding region annotated. Lineage: Eukaryota; Metazoa; Chordata; Actinopteri; Cypriniformes; Cyprinidae. The transcript is spliced from 4 exons. The record is from RefSeq and is a predicted model, not a curated record.